GUAUGCAGAGUGCCAAAAGAAUCAUGCUGCCGGUGUCGGUGGUUAUGCUGUUGAUGGUUGCAGAGAGUUCAUGGCCAGUGGAGAGGAAGGCACAGCUGCUGCACUCACUUGUGCUGCAUGUGGCUGCCAUAGAAGCUUUCACAGAAGGGAAGUUGACACUGAGGUCGUGUGUGAGUGCUCUUCACCGUCUUCAACCGCGACUUAACUAGAGAUGAAACUAAAGCUUAAUCAAGGAUUGUUAAUCAGUGGAGGUUAAUUCAUGUCAUGUGUUAACUUUGCUUGUUUCUCUAUAUAUCUGGGUUUGAGGGUUUUGAUCUUCAAGUACUUUCUCUCUCUCUUUUUAAUUUGGUUUUCGUGUUUGAGAUUGUUCAUUUUCCUUGUCGAUUUAUAGGGUUAAUUCAUUGACAUGAGUGGCUAAGACCUCCUUAAUUUGUGAUCCCAUAUUUAUGUACAAAAGAGAGAAGAAGUGUGUUUUGUUCUUGAAUAUGAAUGAAUGAUUCUCCC
Molecule: long non-coding RNA, 504 nt
Filed under: Citrus sinensis (sweet orange)
Lineage: Eukaryota; Viridiplantae; Streptophyta; Magnoliopsida; Sapindales; Rutaceae
Description: long non-coding RNA (CSIN_LNC002757)
Source: RNAcentral